GACAGAGGGUGCAAACGUUGUUCGGAAUUACUGGGCGUAAAGCGCACGUAGGCGGACAUUUAAGUCAGGGGUGAAAUCCCGGGGCUCAACCCCGGAACUGCCUUUGAUACUGGGUGUCUCGAGUCCGGAAGAGGUGAGUGGAAUUCCGAGUGUAGAGGUGAAAUUCGUAGAUAUUCGGAGGAACACCAGUGGCGAAGGCGGCUCACUGGUCCGGUACUGACGCUGAGGUGCGAAAGCGUGGGGAGCAAACAGG
This 253-nucleotide ribosomal RNA is filed under the name uncultured bacterium. RNAcentral's name for it is "partial 16S ribosomal RNA". It matches the Rfam family "Bacterial small subunit ribosomal RNA", at positions 524 to 776 of the family's 1533-position model. The record is from RNAcentral.